This 164-nucleotide small RNA is filed under the name Chelonoidis abingdonii (Abingdon island giant tortoise). RNAcentral describes it as "TUC338 (ENSCABG00000011807.1)". Lineage: Eukaryota; Metazoa; Chordata; Testudines; Testudinidae. The record is from RNAcentral.
UUGACAGGUAUGGAGGCUUAUCACAUCUAUUCUACCAGAAUAUGGGAAUCAGGGCAAACGUUCCCCUGCUACCUUAUUAAUCUACUGUCACCUCAAACUGGAAGGGACAUCUCUAGUGGUGAGAAAGUAAUUCAUUUUCCAAGCCUAUUCAGUCCUUGGCCUCU